Molecule: transfer RNA, 82 nt
Filed under: Astyanax mexicanus (Mexican tetra)
Lineage: Eukaryota; Metazoa; Chordata; Actinopteri; Characiformes; Acestrorhamphidae
Rfam family: tRNA
About the family: Transfer RNA (tRNA) molecules are approximately 80 nucleotides in length.
Source: Rfam by way of RNAcentral
ACCAGGAUGGCGAGUGGUUAAGGCGUUGGACUUAAGAUCCAAUGGAUGUAAAUCCAUGUGGGUUCGAACCCCUCUGCUGGUA